RNAcentral lists this long non-coding RNA (846 nucleotides) under Rattus norvegicus (Norway rat). RNAcentral's name for it is "long non-coding RNA NONRATT002384". Lineage: Eukaryota; Metazoa; Chordata; Mammalia; Rodentia; Muridae. The record is from RNAcentral.
GACUUCCAGGCACUCAAGCCCCUUUGCGCCCGCCAUGCACUCUCCAUCAAAGAGAUCCUCCAAGCGCAGCAUGGCUCCGGCAUCCACUGGGCCCUCAAAGCCCACUGCGGCUCCUACAGCUCCUGCUGCUCCCACAGCUCCGGCAUCCACUGGGCCCUCAAAGCCCACCCCAGCUCCUGCGGCUCCCAUGGUUUCCACAUCUCCAGUCUCCUUGAAGAACACCAAAGCAGCAGUGCCCAACAGUUCCUCAGUGCAUCCGAAGUCCCCUAACUUGCUUAUGAGCCCUAGCAGUUCUAAGUCUACCAGACCAAUAGGGAACAAGACAGUCCCUUCAACUCGGCCCAGCAGCAGGUCCCAAGGCCGCAGCAAGACAAGAACAUCCAGUCAGGUGAGCACUGAUACCAAGGCCAGGAAAGGCAGCAGGGGCAGGAAGGGGGGCAAGACUGGAGUGAUGGGACCAUAUAAGCAGAGAGACACACACAGCAGGGGGCGAACCCCUGGCAAAAGGGUAAGCCAGAGCUCCAAGACAUCCCCAAACAGGGCCAGCACUCCUAACAGGAAGAGAACCCAUUCCGCCAAACCAGGUGUGGCCAAGAAAGCAAGGACCCCUACUUCCCACCGCAAACAAAGCAGAGGCAAGAGUUAUAGCCGACCUAGAACCAGUGCCCACGAAAAGAGUGACAACUGGCUUAGAAACAGGCACAGGACGAAGAGCCCCAAGCUACAUGGAGCCUUAGACACCAAGGACACUGCAAUCUCCAGUAGGGCCAAGAGCUACAGCCCAAGUAGGACAGUCUUCAAGAGCUUUAGCAAGUCUCCGGUGGUAAGCAGGAGAGCCAGGAGCUA